GCCCCUGUGGCGGAAUAGGUAGACGCGACAGACUCAAAAUCUGUUGUCCUUACGGGCGUGGGGGUUCGAGUCCCUCCAGGGGCACCA
Molecule: transfer RNA, 87 nt
Filed under: Rhodospirillaceae bacterium
Lineage: Bacteria; Pseudomonadati; Pseudomonadota; Alphaproteobacteria; Rhodospirillales; Rhodospirillaceae
Description: tRNA-Leu
Rfam family: tRNA
About the family: Transfer RNA (tRNA) molecules are approximately 80 nucleotides in length. Their secondary structure includes four short double-helical elements and three loops (D, anti-codon, and T loops).
Source: RNAcentral